UACGUAGGGGGCAAGCGUUGUCCGGCUUUAUUGGGCGUAAAGAGCGUGUAGGCGGUUUGGUAGGUCCGCUGUGAAAACUCGAGGCUCAACCUCGAGACGCCGGUGGAAACCAUCAGACUAGAGUCCGGAAGAGGAGAGUGGAAUUCCUGGUGUAGCGGUGAAAUGCGCAGAUAUCAGGAAGAACACCCGUGGCUAAGGCGGCUCUCUAGUACGGUACUGACGCUGAGACGCGAAAGCGUGGGGAGCGAACAGG
This 253-nucleotide ribosomal RNA is filed under the name uncultured bacterium. RNAcentral describes it as "partial 16S ribosomal RNA". It matches the Rfam family "Bacterial small subunit ribosomal RNA", at positions 524 to 776 of the family's 1533-position model. The record is from RNAcentral.